This 253-nucleotide ribosomal RNA is filed under the name uncultured bacterium. Its description in RNAcentral is "partial 16S ribosomal RNA". It matches the Rfam family "Bacterial small subunit ribosomal RNA", at positions 524 to 776 of the family's 1533-position model. The record is from RNAcentral.
UACGUAGGGUGCGAGCGUUAAUCGGAAUUACUGGGCGUAAAGCGUGCGUAGGCGGUUCUCCAAGUCCGUUGUGAAAGCCCCGGGCUCAACCUGGGAAUGGCAGUGGAAACUAGGGGACUGGAAUCUGGCAGAGGGGGGUGGAAUGCCGCGUGUAGCAGUGAAAUGCGUAGAGAUGCGGAGGAACACCGAUGGCGAAGGCAGCCCCCUGGGCUAACACUGACGCUCAGGCACGAAAGCGUGGGGAGCAAACAGG